This 253-nucleotide ribosomal RNA is filed under the name uncultured bacterium. RNAcentral describes it as "partial 16S ribosomal RNA". It matches the Rfam family "Bacterial small subunit ribosomal RNA", at positions 524 to 776 of the family's 1533-position model. The record is from RNAcentral.
UACGUAGGGACCGAGCGUUGUCCGGAAUCAUUGGGCGUAAAGAGCGUGUAGGCGGCCAGGUAGGUCUGCUGUGAAAACUCGAGGCUUAACCUCGAGAUGUCGGCGGAAACCAUCUGGCUAGAGUCCGGAAGAGGAGAAUGGAAUUCCCGGUGUAGCGGUGAAAUGCGCAGAUAUCGGGAAGAACACCCGUGGCGAAGGCGGUUCUCUGGGACGGUACUGACGCUGAGACGCGAAAGCGUGGGGAGCGAACAGG